UCCGAAUUGGUGUAGUGGCUAACAUUUGACGCUCUCAUGAUUAAACUAUCAUAGGAACCGUCAAGCCCGGGGUUCGAUUCCCCGAUUCGGAG
Molecule: non-coding RNA, 92 nt
Organism: Daldinia sp. FL1419
Lineage: Eukaryota; Fungi; Ascomycota; Sordariomycetes; Xylariales; Hypoxylaceae
Source: the annotation of a GenBank genome assembly